This 46-nucleotide non-coding RNA is filed under the name Schistosoma mattheei. The record is from RNAcentral. Lineage: Eukaryota; Metazoa; Platyhelminthes; Trematoda; Strigeidida; Schistosomatidae.
UUUUAAAUGCACGAGUCCCAAAUAGGACGAAAUGCGCAUCCUGGAU